This 85-nucleotide transfer RNA is filed under the name Bacteroidales bacterium. RNAcentral describes it as "tRNA-Leu". It matches the Rfam family "tRNA". Rfam says of the family: Transfer RNA (tRNA) molecules are approximately 80 nucleotides in length. Their secondary structure includes four short double-helical elements and three loops (D, anti-codon, and T loops). Further hydrogen bonds mediate the characteristic L-shaped molecular structure. tRNAs have two regions of fundamental functional importance: the anti-codon, which is responsible for specific mRNA codon recognition, and the 3' end, to which the tRNAs corresponding amino acid is attached (by aminoacyl-tRNA synthetases). tRNAs cope with the degeneracy of the genetic code in two manners: having more than one tRNA (with a specific anti-codon) for a particular amino acid; and 'wobble' base-pairing, i.e. permitting non-standard base-pairing at the 3rd anti-codon position. Lineage: Bacteria; Pseudomonadati; Bacteroidota; Bacteroidia; Bacteroidales. The record is from RNAcentral. RNAcentral also lists the same sequence under 2 other names.
GCCCAGGUGGUGGAAUUGGUAGACACGAGGGACUUAAAAUCCCUUGCCUAUUGCAGGCGUGUGGGUUCAAGUCCCACCCCGGGUA